RNAcentral lists this long non-coding RNA (1988 nucleotides) under Xyrichtys novacula (pearly razorfish). Lineage: Eukaryota; Metazoa; Chordata; Actinopteri; Labriformes; Labridae. The record is from RNAcentral.
GGGGCCCCGGCUUCCAGGGGGCCCCCACUUGGGCAUCCUCCCAAGUGACUUGGUGCCCCAAGUGCUAAUAAAUGUACUGCACGGCAACGACAACAACGGGUAUUUACUAUGAAAAAGUGACGUAGCAAACUGCCUUGGGGGCCCCCAUGCCCCUUCUGCCUUCAUGGGAUGGGGUGGGGGCCACACAAAUUUCUUGCGUGGAGCCCCAAAGGACCCUUGCCCUGCCUCUGCUCAUUCCUAUGCACUGGUGGAUUUAAAGAGUCCAGUUCACAACAUCAGGUCAGUAGCGCCACCUAGUGGUCAGCUACAACACUGAGUGUAACUGUUGGUGAGGACCUGGAUGGUGAGUGUUGCUCAGGUAGUGUCAGUAGAAGAUCAGUGCAGCAGUUCUCCCUCAACUCCCUUAAAUCCUAACCUACAGCAGAAUACAGUUGAGUAGGGAGAUGGUAUAUAUGAGCUUGUGGAUAUAUAUGUGUGUCUGAAAUAAACUAUAGGAAAAAUCAGAUACACUGCCUUCUAAUGAAUGAACUGCCAUCAAUCAUAGAUGCCAUGUCACUCUGUAAGCAUAUCACACACUAGCCAUACAACUCAAAUCAAACUCUACCCUAAUAAACUUAACACACAAUUAGGGGUGUGGGUGUAUUGCUGCUGUUUGUCAUUAGAUCUAGGCCUGCCUCAGCCUCACCUGGUUGUCUGUAGCUAGUCCGAGUGAAAGUUAUGGGGAGAUGGCAUCUCUUGUAUGCUUUUUUAUUAGGCUUUUAACACCCUAUAGAAAUCAGUGGCCAUGAGACAGACAACAAAUCUUGUUACUUCACACCAGUGUUUUGAGCAAUAACAGCAGGACCAAAUGUAUUUCCAUGAAGGCUUCUCAGUGUUGUAGGUUUCAAAAAAGUUAUGUAACUCUGAUCUUGCUGAUCAGCUUGCUCAGAGUAGGACAAGUUCUUUUGUCUCCUUUAAUUUCACCUCCUGAGACUAAAACAAACGCCAAAUUUUUGUUAUGUCAUUAAAAGUCCCCAAGUAGCUGUUAAGUAAACACAUCUGCCAGCAACAGUGCUUUGAAAUAAGAUUACCAUUGGCAACGUAUGAGUAAAAAGCUGCAGGUCAAGGUUAUGAUUUUCAAUGAAAACUUACAAGAAAUCCAAACAAACGUGUCAGAAACAUUUAUGUUGGCAAGAGUAUAAAUGAGGACCAUCAAGAACUGUCACGCCCUCUACUUCUAGGGCCAGAUAGGGGCAGCCUCUCUUUUCUCUUCUCCCUCUUUUCUCUUCUCCCCCCUCCCUCUUCUCCUCCUCUCCCUCUCUCUAAGCAGGUGUUGGUGUGAUGCAGCUUCAGGGCGGACAGGUGCAGCCACUUUCUAAUCAGCGGAUCGAUCCGUGUGGCGGGGAGAGGAGCGCUCUCAUUCAUUCACCCGCUGCCAUAAGAACCGGACGCUUCCCACAACCCGACGCUGGACCGUGACCUGAAGAUCCCUUGCCCACUCCGCCUGCUCUUCCCGCCUGCGUACCCAGCUCUCCUGCUCUUCAUCCCAGCUCCGUCCAGGACGCCGCCUCACGCCAUCACCACCUGCCUCUCCCCCUCCAGUCGGAAAUCACGGACUGCCUGCUCACUCGCUCUCUCGCUAGCUCUGGUAGUACCCGACCCUGUCUCGCGUUUUGCAGACAGCGCUUUUUGUUAAUUGUUCUGACCCUGUCUCGCGUUUUGCAGACAGCGUUUUUUGUUAAUUGUUCUGACCCUGUCUCGCGUUUUUGCAGACAGCGCUUUUUGUUAAUUAUUACUGUUCCAGUCUCGCGUUUUGCAGACAGCGCUUUUUGUUAAUUAUUACUGUUCCAGUCUCGCGUUUUUACAGACAGCGCUUUUUGUUAAUUAUUACUGAUCCUGUCUCGCGUUUUUCAGACAGCGCUUUUUGUUAAUUGUUACUGCCCACCUUAGUUCCGUUUUCCUAUUUCUGUUUGCAUUUUUGGGACCAAAUAAAUAUCUGUUUAAUUGAA